AGCGAACGCUGGCGGCAGGCCUAACACAUGCAAGUCGAACGAACCUUUCGGGGUUAGUGGCGGACGGGUGAGUAACACGUGGGAACGUGCCUUUAGGUUCGGAAUAAAUCAGGGAAACUUGUGCUAAUACCGAAUGUGCCCUUCGGGGGAAAGAUUUAUCGCCUUUAGAGCGGCCCGCGUCUGAUUAGCUAGUUGGUUGAGGUAAUGGCUCACCAAGGCGACGAUCAGUAGCUGGUCUGAGAGGAUGAUCAGCCACAUUGGGACUGAGACACGGCCCAAACUCCUACGGGAGGCAGCAGUGGGGAAUCUUGCGCAAUGGGCGAAAGCCUGACGCAGCCAUGCCGCGUGAAUGAUGAAGGUCUUAGGAUUGUAAAAUUCUUUCACCGGGGACGAUAAUGACGGUACCCGGAGAAGAAGCCCCGGCUAACUUCGUG
This 434-nucleotide ribosomal RNA is filed under the name uncultured bacterium. RNAcentral's name for it is "partial 16S ribosomal RNA". It matches the Rfam family "Bacterial small subunit ribosomal RNA", at positions 29 to 507 of the family's 1533-position model. The record is from RNAcentral.